UACGUAGGAUGCAAGCGUUGUCCGGAUUUACUGGGCGUAAAGCGCGCGCAGGCGGCACUCUAAGUACGUCGUGAAAUAUCCCGGCUCAACCGGGAGGGUGCGAUGUAGACUAGGGAGCUAGGGGUCGGGUAGAGGGGGGUGGAAUUGCUGGUGUAGCGGUGAAAUGCGUAGAGAUCAGCAGGAACACCCGUGGCGAAGGCGGCCCCCUGGGCCGAUAAAAAGUCCUGUCAAGGGAAACCUUGGCUGGUACCUGACGCUGAGGCGGCGAAGGCUAGGGGAGCGAACGGGGAUUAGAAACCCCCUGU
Molecule: ribosomal RNA, 305 nt
Filed under: uncultured bacterium
Lineage: Bacteria
Description: partial 16S ribosomal RNA
Rfam family: Bacterial small subunit ribosomal RNA
Source: RNAcentral